This is a long non-coding RNA of Polistes canadensis, 1370 nucleotides long. RefSeq lists it as uncharacterized. The record is from RefSeq and is a predicted model, not a curated record. The transcript has 3 exons. NCBI's taxonomy places the organism in Eukaryota, Metazoa, Arthropoda, Insecta, Hymenoptera, Vespidae.
UAGUAUAUAUAUAUAUUAUAUAUUAUCAGGUAAUUAUUCGCAUUUUUUUCUUAUUGAACUUCCAACGAUGUUCAAUAACGAGUGCAAAUUACGCUGAGUUUUUCUCGAAAAGUGAAAGAAAGAGUGGGGAGUUGAUGUAGACCGGACAAAAAGAGAACGAGAAGAAGGGGGGGAAAGAGAGUAAGUAAGUGAGAAAGAGAGAGAGAAAGAGAAAGAGAGGGAAGGGUUGAUGAGUGCAACCGGUGUCUUCCUCCCCACCUUCCGCUUCGGACAGACGGCAAAACGACCUCGCGGCUUUCCGUUACCUAAAUCGUUCUGUCAGUUUACUACGAUAUCUCGUUGAAGACUGACGUUUCUGUGACAAACAUUUCGCGACAAUAACUAAAUAGUUCAUAUAACAUUGGUGACAAAUUUUUAAAUGAUAUCGAAAAAAGCAACGUGUGUCUUGAUUCAUUCUUCAAAACUCAAAUUUCAACGAGAAAUCGAAAAGGAAGAAUGCAUCGCGGUUUACGACACUUCGGAUUUUUCUUUAGAUUUUCCCUCGGUUUUUUAAAUUAAGCGUUCCGUUCCCGUCCGAAGUAAACCAUAAUUCGUUUAUCAAGUUACUGGUACUCUCUCCUUCGCUCCGCCCCCAAAGAAAAUUCUAUUCAUUAUUCCUCUACAAAUAUAAUAUUUCGAUUUGUUCUCGUUAAAAUAACGUAUAUUUGUCAGAAUCAAGCGUUGACAAAAUUUCGCUAAUAAAUUCUUUAUACAAUUCGAUGUACCUUUAUGGGAAUACAUGGUUUAUACAACGAGAUCUUUUAAUCUUUAAAAAAAAAUGUUCAACAAAUAUAAUUGAAUUACAAGAUUUGAAAAAGUACUUACUCAGAUAACGCAUCGUUUUAUGGUGUUUUCUUAAGAUCUUGAAAAAUCGUCGAAUUUUCUUCGUAAUACGCAGAGAUGAUCGAACACGAAAGAAUCAUUCGUUAAAAUGUAUAAAAUACAUGAAGUAAAUGUAAACUAUAUGAGAGUACAAUCAAAGGAUAACGUGAAAGAAAGGACAUGAUAACAGAAAAAAAUAAAAACGGAGAGAGAGGGAGAGAGACAAACGGAACUCAAGUAAAAACUCAGAAACAAAAAGAGAGAUGAAGAGAAAGUGAGAAUGAAACGAGUGAGGAGAGCAGAGAGUGGGAGAGCGAGUUAUUAAGAGCACGGGGAAGGUCGAGCAUGGUGGGGUGGUACCUAGUGACGUAAUUAAUUCAAAACGAAGACACGACGCAGCGCCACGGAAGGGAAACAAUCAGCUGUUGACUCUCCUCGGAGGUAUUUGGCGCGCUAGCUCUUUUGCUCGUAAAGAAGAAAAAAAACACUAAUAAAAAAAAACAUAAUUA